CAGUUAUAGCCUGCUUUGAUCCAACGGAAAAGAAUUCCGUGAUGACUUCAAGAGGCAUGCCUUUGGUUUCUGGAACUUUUAAAAACACAAACACAAAUGAUGCAAGGCACACGGUUCCAAACAUCCCAAAGACACCGGCAAGACCUACGGUUUUGAGCAACACCGGUAGUGAAUAUGCGACAAUGAUGUUAGAAAUCCAGUAAACAAGGGAAACUAUGGCAAUGCAGGUGCCACGAACUCGUGUUGGGAAGAUCUCCGCACAGAGAAUGCUGGGAAUAGGCCCGAACCCCAUGGCGUAUACACAGCAGGAGAGCACGACGCUAACAGUUGAGAUUGCUGAACGAACAACACUCCCCAUUUUCACAAUGCUUCCUAUGACUAAGAUGAAAAGACAUAAUGCCAGGAGCGGGACUGUGAUGAGUAGUAACCUCCUGCAGAAAGAGGGAACAAGGAACCAUAGUAAAAAUAUGAGAAGAGAUCAAACAACAGAGGGAAACAUUCUGAGCCAGCAGAUAUCUCGUGUUUUAGGGUAAGGCUUUGUUGUCAUUCAAACGGAAGCAAAAAGAAAAAUAAAAAACUACCUUCUACCAGCAACAUCCACAAACCGCAUGGCAACGGUUAUACUAGGAAGCAUAAAAAAAGUCGUAAUGCAGCUGAUAAGCAGUGAUGCAGAAGAUGAACUGAGGCCAGUGUUUGAAAGAAGGCCUCUAACUCCUGCCAGCUCAAGAAUUUCGGGAAUGUAGUACAAAAUGCUGCUCAUACCAGAGAACUGCAUAUUAAAAAGAAAAGAGGAGGAGGAUCUUCAAUGAGCAAGUGGUUCCAAAGAAGGAAAAUAUUUUUGCUACAAUACGUAUACGUUGACAGUAAUGCAUCAAACUCCACUUCAAGCUUCAGCUGGAUGAACUAUAGCGGGUCCAACCGGAUGCUGCUUCAUAAGCUCCUUGGAAUAAAGAGCUGGAUGACUCACCAAAGCAGCAGCUGGGACAUAGUCAUAGCCUGCAAGGACAUCGGCACGAGACGGAGAAACUAUUGACCUCUGCCUCAAUCCAGGUACACUCUCUUCAUGCAUAUAGAUUCUUUGAAAU
Gossypium arboreum is the source of this 1085-nucleotide long non-coding RNA. RefSeq lists it as uncharacterized. The record is from RefSeq and is a predicted model, not a curated record. NCBI's taxonomy places the organism in Eukaryota, Viridiplantae, Streptophyta, Magnoliopsida, Malvales, Malvaceae. The transcript is spliced from 3 exons.